GCUGGUAUUGUAUAUCGGUUAAUACUCUAGCCUUCUAAGCUGGAAAGGUGGGUUUACUUCCCACUAUUUGCUCCA
Molecule: transfer RNA, 75 nt
Filed under: Clostridiales bacterium
Lineage: Bacteria; Bacillati; Bacillota; Clostridia; Eubacteriales
Description: tRNA-Arg
Rfam family: tRNA
About the family: Transfer RNA (tRNA) molecules are approximately 80 nucleotides in length. Their secondary structure includes four short double-helical elements and three loops (D, anti-codon, and T loops). Further hydrogen bonds mediate the characteristic L-shaped molecular structure. tRNAs have two regions of fundamental functional importance: the anti-codon, which is responsible for specific mRNA codon recognition, and the 3' end, to which the tRNAs corresponding amino acid is attached (by aminoacyl-tRNA synthetases). tRNAs cope with the degeneracy of the genetic code in two manners: having more than one tRNA (with a specific anti-codon) for a particular amino acid; and 'wobble' base-pairing, i.e. permitting non-standard base-pairing at the 3rd anti-codon position.
Source: RNAcentral